This 372-nucleotide long non-coding RNA is filed under the name Lathyrus oleraceus (garden pea). Its description in RNAcentral is "Pisum sativum (pea) long non-coding RNA (PSAT_LNC042123)". The record is from RNAcentral. Lineage: Eukaryota; Viridiplantae; Streptophyta; Magnoliopsida; Fabales; Fabaceae.
UAUUUACUUAUUUAGGAAACAAAAUACAAAACUAAAUACAAAGUAAAACAAUGAAUAUUUUGGAAACGAACUAUUACCCAAUCAACAUUAUACACACUUAAAUAGACUCGAAUAGAAAAAUACCGAAGAAAAAAAUUGUUUUACAACAAAAUUCAACUUGUAUUUAGCCGGCCAUGAUGCUAUCAAAAAUAAUGGAAUCUUCCAUUUUUAAAUAAAGAUAUGUACUUUAGUCAUUUUAAUUAACAAGUCAAAUUACAACAAAAUUCAACUUGUAUUUAGCCGGCCAUGAUGCUAUCAAAAAUAAUGGAAUCUUCCAUUUUUAAAUAAAGAUAUGUACUUUAGUCAUUUUAAUUAACAAGUCAACAAUAGAAC